AGUGGCGGACGGGUGAGUAACGCGUGAGAAUCUGCCUUGGGGUCGGGGACAACCACUGGAAACGGUGGCUAAUACCGGAUAAGCCGAUUGGUGAAAGAUUUAUUGCCCGAAGAGGAGCUCGCGUCUGAUUAGCUAGUUGGUGAGGUAAGAGCUCACCAAGGCAGCGAUCAGUAGCUGGUCUGAGAGGACGAUCAGCCACACUGGGACUGAGACACGGCCCAGACUCCUACGGGAGGCAGCAGUGGGGAAUUUUCCGCAAUGGGCGAAAGCCUGACGGAGCAAGACCGCGUGAGGGAGGAAGGCUCUUGGGUUGUAAACCUCUUUUCUCAGGGAAGAAGCUCUGACGGUACCUGAGGAAUCAGCCUCGGCUAACUCCGUGCCAGCAGCCGCGGUAAUACGGAGGAGGCAAGCGUUAUCCGGAAUUAUUGGGCGUAAAGCGUCCGCAGGUGGCGAUUCAAGUCUGCUGUCAAAGCACGGGCUUAACUCCGUAAAGGCAGUGGAAACUGAAUAGCUAGAGUGCCGUAGGGGUAGAGGGAAUUCCCGGUGUAGCGGUGAAAUGCGUAGAGAUCGGGAAGAACAUCGGUGGCGAAAGCGCUCUACUGGACGGCAACUGACACUCAGGGACGAAAGCUAGGGGAGCGAAUGGGAUUAGAUACCCC
RNAcentral lists this ribosomal RNA (659 nucleotides) under uncultured bacterium. RNAcentral describes it as "bacterial SSU rRNA". It matches the Rfam family "Bacterial small subunit ribosomal RNA", at positions 94 to 788 of the family's 1533-position model. The record is from RNAcentral.